Peromyscus maniculatus bairdii (prairie deer mouse) is the source of this 2872-nucleotide long non-coding RNA. RefSeq lists it as uncharacterized. The record is from RefSeq and is a predicted model, not a curated record. Lineage: Eukaryota; Metazoa; Chordata; Mammalia; Rodentia; Cricetidae.
UAAGUUACCAAGCUGCUGUGAUGUUGCGUAAGGUUCAAGUGUACAUGACCAUAUUCAUGGACCUAUCCAUGUGAAGACAUGUCAUCUUUGAAAUUUCCUUCUCUAAAAAUGUACAUUGGUAUCUCUACCAUGGAAUGGGAAAAAAAUAGAACAGAUGGUAAUGCUGCAAUGCACAGAAAAUUUCUUGUAUUUCUGUCCAUUUAGAAGAUGUGAGGAAUGAACACUGUAAUGUAUGUGGAUGUGCUGCAUAAAUUUAAGUCAGUUCCAAAGGGCCAUUAGUUUUCUGGAGGAGCAAGAAGCUGCCUUGGGUGCCACCUUAUGCCCUGCUGUCCCCGUAGUACUCUCCAUCAGGAACAGAUCUCACGGUGGCAACAGGACUCUGAAUUUUCAGUGUUGACUCCUGGCUGGCUGGUAAUGAUUGAACAUACACUCUGUCAACCGAGGUAACAGUAUAAGCUAGAAGCUAAUGAGCAAGGGAGUGAACUGCUCACAUGGACACUGAACACCAGAAGUGACUUUGAUGAUCCACAGACGUUUCUAAGAGACAUCUACAGAAAAUACUUGUGAGUCUGAGUGCCAGCAGAAAAGGCUGAGAAGAUUUCUUUUCAAUGAUUGAGGCAAGAAGAAAAUGAACGAGAAAGGUCCAACUAGUGUUGUUGCUCUGAGAGUGCUACAAAUCUUUGGGUACCAUUUAGAAGAGGAAUGGAACAAUGGAGAAUGAGGCUCCACAUCUGUGAUCAAGCAAAGCUGAUGGACCAACGUGACUCUCUGCAGUGAGAGCAAGGUGCUACUCCAGUGUCUGAGGACAGGAAUGGAGGAGCCCGUGAGAUAAGAGCAGGAGGAAGGCCUCACUGAGGCCCGCACUCUUCUUCCCCAGGCAGAGUGACAAUCCCAGCAGUUGUGCAAGUCCAAACCCUCUUUUUCUUUCUCACAUGCAUCCCAGCCUUCCAGUCCACACAUACAAGUUAAUGUGGCGGGCAGCAGCAGAUACUCCCCAUAUUCUGCCGUGUUUGCAUCAACAUCCUUCACUUUAAGAGUUAAUUUCUGUCCACAAUCCUUGGAUAUGGAACAGUCCCAAGAAAGGGCAAAAGUUAACUUGCUUAACCUAAAAUGCUGGCAUCCUACAGGGUUGCAAAUUAUGGGAUAGCAACAGAAGAGCAAAGUCCCUGGAAAGGGAAGUUCCUGCCUCUCCUGGAACAGAGAUCCCUGUGGUCUCCUAAAUGUCAGUAAAAGACAUGGAGGGAAUUGGAAGGGAAUCAAGUUCUGUGCACAAAAGAAGCUUCAGCAGCAGCUCCCCCAUCUGCACCAGCUUCGGUGAGAUACCUGAGUCUCAUGACAUAAAAAUGCAUUGCUGCCAAUAAAAUCUCUGAAGACUGACCAUCUGUGCCGUGAGGAGGUGCCAGCACAGAGCGGCUGUAGCAGAAAUGGGACAGAGCAGCCCUGACAGGGCGACGCCACCUCCCCGCCUGGGCACGCAACUCACAGAAAGCACUCAGAUGCCAUUUUGGAAGAAAUAUUUUCAAGUUCAUUUUGCACACAUCAAAUAAAGAAAAGACAAGUAAACCAAAAUCUUAACUUCCUUCAUCACAGACCUCUCAUCCCAGGGAAGUCUGUGUUUACAAAAAGUUGUUCUGUGUCCCCUUUGAAUUAAAUAAAUCCUAAGACUAAAACAAAACAACAGAUAUGGCAACAUAAACUUACUCCGUCUUUUCCCGACAUCCCCUUUGGAAGUUGCUGCUUCAUUUAGAAGAACCAUCCCCAUGGUGAUAGCAGCAUCUACAGUAGUUGUCAAGGAAACCAUAGACAGUGCCGAACACUGAAUACUGCACAUCUCAUCUGAAAAGCUUUUGGAUUUCUUACAAAUUGAAGAUUUCCUGAUAGAAGAUUCUAAGAAUUUUUAAGAGUAUAAAAUACUUGAUUGCUUUGUCUCAAGGCACCAGGCUGUUCCACCACCACAGUUUCACUUACAGAUACUGCUGCAAAGGAUUGCUCUUUACAGGACUUUUUACAUGGAUGCACAGAUCUCCUGCACCCAGCCACAGGGCAUUGGAGGCUAGGCAUGUGUACUUUCCAACUUGUUAGCUGUAACGGUACUGCUCUGGAGGAAGAAAAGCGUUUCCAUUUUCCUUACCUUGCAUGGAGUACUUACUGCUGCACUGCUGAUACCAGCAAGCUGUAAGGAAGAAGCAGCAGCACCACUCGAGGCUGGGCAUCUCUGCCAUGCUUACUGCUUCUGUCAUUUCUCUUCUGCCCAGUUAAGCAUCUGGAUUUGCCAAUGGCUAUGUCUCCAUUUUGUUCUGAAUACUAGUUGAACAAAGUAUUAUACACAGACUCUCCUACUGUAUGUCUUUGGCAUUUAUUUCAUCACGCAGAAGUUUUUACUUUUAAUGUGGAGAAAUUCAUGUUUCCCUACCACUGCAACCCUAGACCCCAAGGGACAGGAAAAAAAAUUCUUUCGUUGAAUAUCUUACAGAUGAUGAUGCAGGUACUAUUACCAGUUUGUAAAUAAAACAACUGAAGCUUACAGAGACUCUAAGUAAGUCACUCAAAACAUGCAAACUGGGCAAACUUAAAAGCAGAAACAAAGUGACAGGGAGGUCUGGGACAGUGGGAAAAUGGUGAGAAUGGGGCCAAGGGGAGAAAAGCAAACAGACCCAGCAUACGAUGGUGCUGAAAACCAGUGUAAGAUGCUGAAUGCCACACUAUUUCCAUAAACACAAAAACGUAUUUUACUAUCCGAAAACAUUCAUAUUAGAUUCUUAGAAAUCAAUUUACAAAUAUUAAAUUCCUUCUGAAACACAUAGACUAUGAUCUGGCAUUAUAUGCUCCUAUUUCACAUUGAAAUCAAAUUCUCAAAAUAUUCUGCAGACUA